RNAcentral lists this unclassified non-coding RNA (214 nucleotides) under rhizosphere metagenome. RNAcentral describes it as "partial ribosomal RNA internal transcribed spacer region". The record is from RNAcentral.
GUAGGUGAACCUGCGGAAGGAUCAUUACAGAAAUAGGAGAAAGGGCGCUUAACUGCGACCCUUUUCUUUCUACACAUGUGUUUUUCUUUUUUUUGAAAACUUUGCUUUGGUGGGCCCACGGCCUGCCAGAGAUUAAACUCAACCAAAUUUUUAUUUAAUUGUCAACUUGAUUAACUAAUAGUCAAAACUUUCAACAACGGAUCUCUUGGUUCUC